UAAACUUGAGACUUGGGAGAUGAGGUUCUUCUUCUUCUUCUUCCAUACCCUAAUUCUGGUUCUAUUACUUUUAUUAUUUUCACUCAUGUUCUUCACUCAAGUUAGUGCAGGUUUGUCUUCAUUUCUAUUUCUUUCAUAUACCAUGCAAAUUAAUUCUCAAUAUUCACUAUAAAAUAAAUUUAUUAAAUAACAACAAAAAAAAUAGAGAGAAAAAAAUAAUUAGUAACUAAAUUAGAUGUUAUUUUAGAUACUAAAAAAUUAUUUUUAAAUUGGUAUCUAAAUUAUCUAUCAGGGUUUUAUCUACUAAUAUUUAGACUCUAAAUUGAUCUUAAUUAGUCUUUUAGAGACUAAUUUAAAAUAUAAAAUAUUAAUAGAUAAAAUAUUGGUAGCUACUGGUUAAAUACAAAUCUAAAAAUUACUUUAUAAAUUUUUUUAAUAAUAAAAUCUAUUUUAAAUAUAAAAAAAUAGUCAAUAAAAUAUCUCUAAUAUCCAAAAUAAUAUCUAAUUAGUUUAAUAGUAACUAAUUAUUUUGAUGAUUAAAAUUAGUUGAAUGAUUUUUUUUAAUGAUUUAAAUUUUUAUUGUUUGUUUUUAACUGCAGAGAUUUCAAGGAAGCUUGGGGAAGUAGUCACACCUCCUCCUCCACCUUGUCCAAAUGUAGGGCACAUCCCGUGUUAGAAAAAAGCUUAUAUGAUUCAGUAUUAUUUAUUAACUUAAACAAAGUAUUUUUAUGCCAAAUUAUGUUGUUUCCAACGUGGAUUUAUUACUUUAACUAUAUUAUUUUAAAAAAUUAAUGUGAAUUUAUGAAACAAGAUAUUGGGUGACACUUUGUGUGGAAUUGAAAAAAAAUAUAUGUGUUGGGAUAAAGACUGGUAAGAAGACAAUUUCAAUUUUUCACAAGGAUAUUCAAUAUUAUUUAAAUUUCAUAAAUGCUUUCAAAAUUCUUAAAAAUGAGAAAGAACAAAAUUAGAAGAAGGGUGCGUGGUUGAAGAUUUGUAAUUACGAAGAAGAUAAGAAUAAGAAAUUAAUAAUAUUAAGAAAUUCACUUUAAGCUUAAUUCAAUAUCAUAAAACCAAUUUAUAAUGUAAAGUCUUCAACAUAUCCGCUAAGAGUACCAACUCGUACGUGAGACUAUAUAUUAUAGGUGAUAACGGUGAGUUUAUAAAUCCAACAAAUAAUCGUUAAGAUAAAUUCAAAAUAACUAUGAUACCAUAUUAAAAAGUACACUUUAAGUCUAAUUCAACUUCAAUAACUUAUAAAAAUAAAAUUUACACCGUUUAUAUACUAUGUGCUAAUUUUUAGGAUUUUGA
RNAcentral lists this long non-coding RNA (1308 nucleotides) under Phaseolus vulgaris (common bean). RNAcentral's name for it is "long non-coding RNA (PVUL_LNC004771)". The record is from RNAcentral. Lineage: Eukaryota; Viridiplantae; Streptophyta; Magnoliopsida; Fabales; Fabaceae.